RNAcentral lists this RNase P RNA (393 nucleotides) under Allobosea lupini. RNAcentral describes it as "Bosea lupini Bacterial RNase P class A". It matches the Rfam family "Bacterial RNase P class A". Rfam says of the family: Ribonuclease P (RNase P) is a ubiquitous endoribonuclease, found in archaea, bacteria and eukarya as well as chloroplasts and mitochondria. Its best characterised activity is the generation of mature 5'-ends of tRNAs by cleaving the 5'-leader elements of precursor-tRNAs. Cellular RNase Ps are ribonucleoproteins. Lineage: Bacteria; Pseudomonadati; Pseudomonadota; Alphaproteobacteria; Hyphomicrobiales; Alloboseaceae. The record is from RNAcentral.
CCAGUCGGCCGGACGGCCGCUCCUGCUCCGGCGGGGGAGGAAAGUCCGGGCUCCACGGAAACACGGUGCCGGAUAACGUCCGGCGGGGGCGACCCCAGGGAAAGCGCCACAGAGAUCGAACCGCCGCAUGCUUGCGCAUGCGGUAAGGGUGAAAAGGUGCGGUAAGAGCGCACCGCGGACCCGGCAACGGGGACGGCAUGGCAAGCCCCACCGGGAGCAAGACCGAAUAGGGACGAUGCUCGCCCGCAAGGGAGGAGGGGCCGGUUUCCAGGCCCAGUCGUCCGGGUUGGUUGCUCGAGGCGCGCAGCAAUGCGCGUCCCAGAGGAAUGGCCGUCACGUCGGGAGAGCGAUCUCCCGGCCAUCCAAAACCCGGCUUACAGGCCGGCUGGCACC